GCGGGUUUAGCUCAGUUGGGAGAGCGUCAGACUGAAGUUUCAACUUCAUUCUCAUCAACAACGUUGAUAUCUGAAGGUCAUGUGUUCGAUCCACAUAAACCGCA
RNAcentral lists this transfer RNA (104 nucleotides) under Cercophora newfieldiana. It matches the Rfam family "tRNA". From Rfam's summary of the family: Transfer RNA (tRNA) molecules are approximately 80 nucleotides in length. Their secondary structure includes four short double-helical elements and three loops (D, anti-codon, and T loops). The record is from Rfam by way of RNAcentral. Lineage: Eukaryota; Fungi; Ascomycota; Sordariomycetes; Sordariales; Lasiosphaeriaceae.